Molecule: ribosomal RNA, 253 nt
Filed under: uncultured bacterium
Lineage: Bacteria
Description: partial 16S ribosomal RNA
Rfam family: Bacterial small subunit ribosomal RNA
Source: RNAcentral
UACGAAGGGGGCUAGCGUUGUUCGGAAUUACUGGGCGUAAAGCGCGCGUAGGCGGAACGUUAAGUCAGGGGUGAAAGCCCGAGGCUCAACCUCGGAAUGGCCCUUGAUACUGGCGCUCUCGAGACCGGGAGAGGUGAGUGGAACACCCAGUGUAGAGGUGAAAUUCGUAGAUAUUGGGUAGAACACCAGUGGCGAAGGCGGCUCACUGGCCCGGUUCUGACGCUGAGGCGCGAAAGCGUGGGGAGCAAACAGG